UACGUAGGGGGCAAGCGUUAUCCGGAUUUACUGGGUGUAAAGGGAGCGUAGACGGCGAUGCAAGUCUGAAGUGAAAGGCGGGGGCCCAACCCCCGGACUGCUUUGGAAACUGCCAUGCUGGAGUGCCGGAGAGGUAAGCGGAAUUCCUAGUGUAGCGGUGAAAUGCGUAGAUAUUAGGAGGAACACCAGUGGCGGAGGCGGCUUACUGGACGGUAAAUGACGCUGAGGCUCGAAAGCGUGGGGAGCAAACAGG
Molecule: ribosomal RNA, 253 nt
Filed under: uncultured Eubacteriales bacterium
Lineage: Bacteria; Bacillati; Bacillota; Clostridia; Eubacteriales
Description: uncultured Clostridiales bacterium partial 16S ribosomal RNA
Rfam family: Bacterial small subunit ribosomal RNA
Source: RNAcentral